Molecule: ribosomal RNA, 116 nt
Filed under: Bacillus pumilus
Lineage: Bacteria; Bacillati; Bacillota; Bacilli; Caryophanales; Bacillaceae
Also listed under: 42 other names
Source: RNAcentral
UCUGGUGAUGAUGGCGAAGAGGUCACACCCGUUCCCAUACCGAACACGGAAGUUAAGCUCUUCAGCGCCGAUGGUAGUUGGGGGUCUCCCCCUGUGAGAGUAGGACAUCGCCAGGC